This 468-nucleotide ribosomal RNA is filed under the name uncultured bacterium. RNAcentral describes it as "partial 16S ribosomal RNA". It matches the Rfam family "Bacterial small subunit ribosomal RNA", at positions 28 to 507 of the family's 1533-position model. The record is from RNAcentral.
GACGAACGCUGGCGGCGUGCUUAACACAUGCGAGUCGAACGGAAAGGCCCUGCUUUUGUGGGGUGCUCGAGUGGCGAACGGGUGAGUAACACGUGAGUAACCUGCCCUUGACUUUGGGAUAACUUCAGGAAACUGGGGCUAAUACCGGAUAGGAGCUCCUGCUGCAUGGUGGGGGUUGGAAAGUUUCGGCGGUUGGGGAUGGACUCGCGGCUUAUCAGCUUGUUGGUGGGGUAGUGGCUUACCAAGGCUUUGACGGGUAGCCGGCCUGAGAGGGUGACCGGCCACAUUGGGACUGAGAUACGGCCCAGACUCCUACGGGAGGCAGCAGUGGGGAAUAUUGCACAAUGGGCGGAAGCCAGAUGCAGCAACGCCGCGUGCGGGAUGACGGCCUUCGGGUUGUAAACCGCUUUCGCCUGUGACGAAGCGUGAGUGACGGUAAUGGGUAAAGAAGCACCGGCUAACUACGUG